RNAcentral lists this ribosomal RNA (663 nucleotides) under uncultured cyanobacterium. RNAcentral describes it as "bacterial SSU rRNA". It matches the Rfam family "Bacterial small subunit ribosomal RNA", at positions 99 to 795 of the family's 1533-position model. Lineage: Bacteria; Bacillati; Cyanobacteriota. The record is from RNAcentral.
CGGACGGGUGAGUAACGCGUGAGAAUCUAGCCAUAGGUUGGGGACAACCACUGGAAACGGUGGCUAAUACCGAAUAAGCCGGAAGGUGAAAGAUUAAUUGCCUAAGGAAGAGCUCGCGUCUGAUUAGCUAGUUGGUGGGGUAAAGGCCUACCAAGGCACCGAUCAGUAACUGGUCUGAGAGGAUGGCCAGUCACACUGGGACUGAGACACGGCCCAGACUCCUACGGGAGGCAGCAGUGGGGAAUUUUCCGCAAUGGGCGAAAGCCUGACGGAGCAAUACCGCGUGAGGGGGGAAGGCUCUUGGGUCGUAAACCUCUUUUCUCAGGGAAGAACAAAAUGACGGUACCUGAGGAAUAAGCAUCGGCUAACUCCGUGCCAGCAGCCGCGGUAAUACGGAGGAUGCAAGCGUUAUCCGGAAUGAUUGGGCGUAAAGCGUCCGCAGGUGGCAAUACAAGUCUGCUGUCAAAGGUCAAGGCUCAACUUUGGACAGGCAGUGGAAACUGUAUAGCUAGAGUGCGGUGGGGGCAGAGGGAAUUCCCAGUGUAGCGGUGAAAUGCGUAGAGAUUGGGAAGAACACCAGUGGCGAAAGCGCUCUGCUAGGCCGCAACUGACACUCAGGGACGAAAGCUAGGGGAGCGAAUGGGAUUAGAUACCCCAGUAGUC